CCUACGGGCGGCAGCAGUGGGGAAUAUUGGACAAUGGGGGGAACCCUGAUCCAGCCAUGCCGCGUGUGUGAAGAAGGCCCUCGGGUUGUAAAGCACUUUCAGUGAGGAAGAACGCCUGGUGGUUAAUACCCAUCAGGAAAGACAUCACUCACAGAAGAAGCACCGGCUAACUCCGUGCCAGCAGCCGCGGUAAUACGGAGGGUGCGAGCGUUAAUCGGAAUUACUGGGCGUAAAGCGCGCGUAGGUGGCUUGAUAAGCCGGUUGUGAAAGCCCCGGGCUCAACCUGGGAACGGCAUCCGGAACUGUCAAGCUAGAGUGCAGGAGAGGAAGGUAGAAUUCCCGGUGUAGCGGUGAAAUGCGUAGAGAUCGGGAGGAAUACCAGUGGCGAAGGCGGCCUUCUGGAAUGACACUGACACUGAGGUGCGAAAGCGUGGGUAGCAAACAGGAUUAGAUACCCGAGUAGUC
This 465-nucleotide ribosomal RNA is filed under the name Vreelandella stevensii. RNAcentral describes it as "partial 16S ribosomal RNA". It matches the Rfam family "Bacterial small subunit ribosomal RNA", at positions 338 to 795 of the family's 1533-position model. The record is from RNAcentral. Lineage: Bacteria; Pseudomonadati; Pseudomonadota; Gammaproteobacteria; Oceanospirillales; Halomonadaceae.